AAGUGGCUAUCAUUGGAGCACUCCAGCAUUUAAAUGUGAAUAAAACUUUUGUGUCUCAUACCAUCGCUCGAAGUGGACGGAUGAAGAAAGCAACAUCAGCAGAAAUGGUUCGAAAAGUAAAAAAAAACGACAUAUCGCAAUAUUCCAUUCGGCAAAUAUUGAAAAAUGAGCUCGGGGUAAAGCCAUUGAAAUUCCAAACAGUGCAAGAACUUACACUGCAACACAAAGAAAAUAGACUCAAAAGAGCUAAAGAGUUGCUUCGCUUGCACGAAAGUGGUGAACUGCCGAAUUUGGUUUUCUCCGAUGAGAAAACGUUCGUUGUCCAGCAGUUUGUAAACAAAC
This is a long non-coding RNA of Musca vetustissima, 342 nucleotides long. RefSeq lists it as uncharacterized. Lineage: Eukaryota; Metazoa; Arthropoda; Insecta; Diptera; Muscidae. The transcript has 2 exons. The record is from RefSeq and is a predicted model, not a curated record.